RNAcentral lists this ribosomal RNA (253 nucleotides) under uncultured bacterium. RNAcentral's name for it is "partial 16S ribosomal RNA". It matches the Rfam family "Bacterial small subunit ribosomal RNA", at positions 524 to 776 of the family's 1533-position model. The record is from RNAcentral.
UACGUAGGGGGCGAGCGUUGUCCGGAUUUACUGGGCGUAAAGAGCGCGCAGGCGGCUGGUCAAGUCCGAUGUGAAAGCUCCCGGCUUAACUGGGAAAUUGCAUCGGAAACUGAUCGGCUGGAAGGUGGGAGAGGGUAGCGGAAUUCCCGGUGUAGUGGUGAAAUGCGUAGAUAUCGGGAGGAACACCAGUGGCGAAAGCGGCUACCUGGCCCAUUCUUGACGCUGAGGCGCGAAAGCUAGGGGAGCAAACGGG